AAGAUUUUAAGUUAAAAAAACUAUGGGCCUUCAAAGCCUGAAAUAAAAAACAAUUUUUAAAUCUUG
Molecule: transfer RNA, 66 nt
Filed under: Euspira pila
Lineage: Eukaryota; Metazoa; Mollusca; Gastropoda; Littorinimorpha; Naticidae
Description: tRNA-Trp
Source: RNAcentral